Molecule: ribosomal RNA, 987 nt
Filed under: Salmonella enterica
Lineage: Bacteria; Pseudomonadati; Pseudomonadota; Gammaproteobacteria; Enterobacterales; Enterobacteriaceae
Also listed under: 1 other name
Description: partial 23S ribosomal RNA
Rfam family: Bacterial large subunit ribosomal RNA
Source: RNAcentral
CCCCGGUAAACGGCGGCCGUAACUAUAACGGUCCUAAGGUAGCGAAAUUCCUUGUCGGGUAAGUUCCGACCUGCACGAAUGGCGUAAUGAUGGCCAGGCUGUCUCCACCCGAGACUCAGUGAAAUUGAACUCGCUGUGAAGAUGCAGUGUACCCGCGGCAAGACGGAAAGACCCCGUGAACCUUUACUAUAGCUUGACACUGAACAUUGAGCCUUGAUGUGUAGGAUAGGUGGGAGGCUUUGAAGUGUGGACGCCAGUCUGCAUGGAGCCGACCUUGAAAUACCACCCUUUAAUGUUUGAUGUUCUAACGUGGACCCGUAAUCCGGGUUGCGGACAGUGUCUGGUGGGUAGUUUGACUGGGGCGGUCUCCUCCUAAAGAGUAACGGAGGAGCACGAAGGUUGGCUAAUCCUGGUCGGACAUCAGGAGGUUAGUGCAAUGGCAUAAGCCAGCUUGACUGCGAGCGUGACGGCGCGAGCAGGUGCGAAAGCAGGUCAUAGUGAUCCGGUGGUUCUGAAUGGAAGGGCCAUCGCUCAACGGAUAAAAGGUACUCCGGGGAUAACAGGCUGAUACCGCCCAAGAGUUCAUAUCGACGGCGGUGUUUGGCACCUCGAUGUCGGCUCAUCACAUCCUGGGGCUGAAGUAGGUCCCAAGGGUAUGGCUGUUCGCCAUUUAAAGUGGUACGCGAGCUGGGUUUAGAACGUCGUGAGACAGUUCGGUCCCUAUCUGCCGUGGGCGCUGGAGAACUGAGGGGGGCUGCUCCUAGUACGAGAGGACCGGAGUGGACGCAUCACUGGUGUUCGGGUUGUCAUGCCAAUGGCACUGCCCGGUAGCUAAAUGCGGAAGAGAUAAGUGCUGAAAGCAUCUAAGCACGAAACUUGCCCCGAGAUGAGUUCUCCCUGAGACUUAGAGUCUCCUGAAGGAACGUUGAAGACGACGACGUUGAUAGGCCGGGUGUGUAAGCGCAGCGAUGCGUUGAGCUAACCGGU